GACGAGGGGUCCUAGCGUUGUUCGGAAUCAUUGGGCGUAAAGCGCAUGUAGGCGGUCUAGCAAGUCGGGUGUGAAAGCCCUGGGCUUAACCCAGGAAGUGCACUCGAUACUGCUGGACUUGAAUAUGGGAGAGGAUAGUGGAAUUCCUGGUGUAGUGGUGAAAUACGUAGAUAUCAGGAGGAACACCGGUGGCGAAGGCGGCUAUCUGGCCUAAUAUUGACGCUGAGAUGCGAAAGCGUGGGGAUCAAACAGG
Molecule: ribosomal RNA, 253 nt
Filed under: uncultured bacterium
Lineage: Bacteria
Description: partial 16S ribosomal RNA
Rfam family: Bacterial small subunit ribosomal RNA
Source: RNAcentral